Molecule: ribosomal RNA, 939 nt
Filed under: Sarcocystis gigantea
Lineage: Eukaryota; Apicomplexa; Conoidasida; Eucoccidiorida; Sarcocystidae
Description: SSU rRNA
Rfam family: Eukaryotic small subunit ribosomal RNA
Source: RNAcentral
UAGCUUUAUACGGCGAAACUGCGAAUGGCUCAUUAAACAGUUAUAGUUUAUUUGAUAGUCGAUUUUUACUACAUGGAUAACCGUGGUAAUUCUAUGGCUAAUACAUGCGCAAAUACUGUAUAAUCAUAUUUAUUAUGAUUGUACAGUAGUGUUUAUUAGAUACAGAACCAACAGUGCGCCAUCACUUUUUAGUGGUGGUGUCAAAAGAGAAGGUGAUUCAUAGUAACCGAACGGAUCGCAUCAUAUUAUAAUCAUUUCGGUGAUUGGCGAUAGAUCAUUCAAGUUUCUGACCUAUCAGCUUUCGACGGUAGUGUAUUGGACUACCGUGGCAGUGACGGGUAACGGGGAAUUAGGGUUCGAUUCCGGAGAGGGAGCCUGAGAAACGGCUACCACAUCUAAGGAAGGCAGCAGGCGCGCAAAUUACCCAAUCCUGACUCAGGGAGGUAGUGACAAGAAAUAACAACACUGGAAAUUGUAUUUCUAGUGAUUGGAAUGAUGGGAAUCCAAACCCCUUUCAGAGUAACAAUUGGAGGGCAAGUCUGGUGCCAGCAGCCGCGGUAAUUCCAGCUCCAAUAGCGUAUAUUAAAGUUGUUGCAGUUAAAAAGCUCGUAGUUGGAUAUCUGCUGGAAGCAAUCAGUCCGCCCUUUUCGUAAGGGUGUGCACUUGAUGAAUUCUGGCAUGAUUUCAUCCUAAUAAUAAUAUAUUAUUAUAUUAGGUUGAUUCCUAGUAUAAUAAUAUUUAUUAUUAUGGGGAUGACAGUUACUUUGAGAAAAUUAGAGUGUUUGAAGCAGGCUUUUGUUGCCUUGAAUACUGCAGCAUGGAAUAACAAUAUAGGAUUUUGGUUCUAUUAUUUUGUUGGUUUUUUCUGUAGGACUGAAAUAAUGAUUAAUAGGGACAGUUGGGGGCAUUCGUAUUUAACUGUCAGAGGUGAAAUUCUAG